UUUUGCCAUGUUGGCCAGGAUGGUCUCAAACUGCUGACCUCAGGUGAUCCGCCUGCCUCAGCCUCCAAAAGUGCUGGGGUUACAGGCAUGAGCCACCGUGCCCAGCCUCCAAAUCCAAUCUUAACAUUGCUGUUGAGAUUGAAAGAGUUGGCAGCUGAGGUCAGGUGGUGGAUGAGGAAAAGCUGGUGGCUCCACGAUUCUGAGCUGAGGGUGUCAAAGGAGAUGGAGUGGAUGAUAGGAGAGAAGCAGGCUACUGAACACGCUGGCUUAGGAGUGGCUGUGAGAUAGCCCCUUUCCCCAAAUGUACCCAAAUGUACCCAAGAAGGUGCAACUUUAAAGUAGAAGAUGCUCCACGGAGUUACCUAUGGGCACAGGAAAAGGGCAAAGAGCAAAACUAUAUUUCUCCAAACAGCUUUUCCCGAUACUCAUAUUUACCACUGCCUUAUGUAAUUUCUCAUUUUCAUGAAUACUAGGAUUUUUACCACCAUCCUUCAUCAAGCAGGUAGAGAUAAUGCCAUAUCUUUUUAUUUGCCCUACUGUGUUUAUUUACAAUAUUAGCUUAUUAAGUAAUUGGCUGAUCAUUAUGAGAGUUUGUAUUAUUUCCCUUUUAUGUCAUUUAGAAUUGCAGAGGUUAACAAUGGGAAAAAUUGGCAUAUUAAAAAUUCCCAACUUCUGGAAAUCAAUGUCAUAUUUACCCAAACAGACUUUUCUCCCUAAAGUGAAGUGACAUUUUAUCCAGCGUGUCUUGCCAUUUAAUGGUGGAUUCUGAGCUCCCUCUAGUGAGAAAUGCGCUUCUUAUAAACGGAUUGUAUCAAAUAAUCUCAUGGAAAUUGCCUCCUAUAGAGCUGAGUAAUGAAUAUAUUUUCCUUUUAAGCCAGGCUCUUUAAAACUUUCUAAGAGGACAAAAUUUUAUGAAGUCAUGUUUAUAAGUCAUUUUUUUAAUUAAAAAAUUACUAUGGAAACACAUUCAUACAAAUAUGAAACUAACUGUGCUUUCAUUUUUUCAGCAUCUAUUUUUUUAAGCACUUACUAUGAUAGGGGCCCUGCGCUGGGACCAGAAGGUCAUGAAACACAUGGGGUCCUGUUCCAAAGGUCAGGUGUGAGGAACCCACAUUAGCCCUAGGAUCUGGUUUAUUGGAAAUACUUUAUGAUAUCCUGUAAUCCCAAGUAUUGAGAAUUUUCUCAAUUUUAGGUCCUAAUUUUCAUAAUGAAUAGAGGUCUUUGAGCUGUCACUCUUAUGUGCCUGAACUAAUCUAUUGAUUAACUGUCAGAUACCCCAAGGACCAUCAGAAAAACCUAUUGAUCAACCAAAGUCAAGUUUAUAAGAUUAACUACAGUAAGAGAGAACACCACCUUGACAGAAUCUUAUAAGUAUCUGAAAAUGAAAGAAUAAGGCAGGGUAUUUACAGAGUUUUAGGACCUAGGCUGGGCGAUUUUGUUUUUGUUUUUGUUUUGAGACGGAGUCUCGCUCUGUUGCCCAGGCCGGACUGCACUGGCGCAAUCUCGGCUCACUGCAAGCUCCGCCUCCCAGGUUCACGCCAUUCUCCUGCCUCAGCCUCCCGAGUAGCUGGGACCACAGGCGCCCGCCACUGCGCCCGGCUAAUUUUUUGUAUUUUUAGUAGAGACGGGGUUUCACCUUGUUAGCCAGGAUGAUCUCGAUCUCCUGACCUUGUGAUCCACCCGCCUCAGCCUCCCAAAGUGCUGGGAUUACAGGCGUGAGCCACCGCG
Molecule: long non-coding RNA, 1728 nt
Filed under: Homo sapiens (human)
Lineage: Eukaryota; Metazoa; Chordata; Mammalia; Primates; Hominidae
Description: HSALNT0034410
Source: RNAcentral